GGGCUCUUAGCUCAGCUUGGUUUAGAGCGCUUCCUUGACGCGGAAGAGGUCACAGGUUCGAAUCCUGUAGAGCCCA
This 76-nucleotide transfer RNA is filed under the name Bacteroidota bacterium. RNAcentral's name for it is "tRNA-Val". It matches the Rfam family "tRNA". Rfam says of the family: Transfer RNA (tRNA) molecules are approximately 80 nucleotides in length. Their secondary structure includes four short double-helical elements and three loops (D, anti-codon, and T loops). The record is from RNAcentral. RNAcentral also lists the same sequence under 6 other names. Lineage: Bacteria; Pseudomonadati; Bacteroidota.